RNAcentral lists this transfer RNA (72 nucleotides) under Camelus bactrianus (Bactrian camel). It matches the Rfam family "tRNA". Rfam says of the family: Transfer RNA (tRNA) molecules are approximately 80 nucleotides in length. Their secondary structure includes four short double-helical elements and three loops (D, anti-codon, and T loops). Lineage: Eukaryota; Metazoa; Chordata; Mammalia; Artiodactyla; Camelidae. RNAcentral also lists the same sequence under 1 other name. The record is from Rfam by way of RNAcentral.
GAGGGUAUAGCUUAGUGGUAGAGCGCAUGCUUAGCAUGCAUGAGGUCCUGGGUUCAAUCCCCAGUUCCUCCA